GAAAAGAAACCAACAGGGAUUGCCUUAGUAACGGCGAGUGAAGCGGCAGAAGCUCAAAUUUGAAAUCUGGCACCUACGGUGUCCGAGUUGUAAUUUGAAGAGGCAACUUUGGGAGGGUCCCGGUCUAUGUUCCUUGGAACAGGACAUCGCAGAGGGUGAGAAUCCCGUUCUCGGUCGGAUGGGCCUCCCUUACAAAAGUGUCUUCUACGAGUCGAGUUGUUUGGGAAUGCAGCUCAAAAUGGGUGGUAAAUUUCAUCUAAGGCUAAACAUUGGCGAGAGACCGAUAGCGCACAAGUAGAGUGAUCGAAAGAUGAAAAGCACUUUGAAAAUAGAGUCAAAAAGUACGUGAAAUUGUUGAAAGGGAAGCGCUUGAGACCAGACUCAGCGGUAGACAAACAGCUGCCCUUCUGGGUAGUGCACUUGUCUGCCGGUGGGCCAGCAUCGGUUGGGGUGGUGGGAUAAAGGCUAGGGCAAUGUGACUCCUCUGAGGAGUGUUAUAGGCCCGAGUGCAAUGCUGCCCGCCCCGACCGUGGACCGCGCUUCCGCUAGGAUGCUGGCGUAAUGGUCUUCA
Molecule: ribosomal RNA, 571 nt
Filed under: Tuber magnatum (white Piedmont truffle)
Lineage: Eukaryota; Fungi; Ascomycota; Pezizomycetes; Pezizales; Tuberaceae
Description: eukaryotic LSU rRNA
Rfam family: Eukaryotic large subunit ribosomal RNA
Source: RNAcentral